Molecule: ribosomal RNA, 613 nt
Filed under: uncultured earthworm cast bacterium
Lineage: Bacteria
Description: bacterial SSU rRNA
Rfam family: Bacterial small subunit ribosomal RNA
Source: RNAcentral
CCUAACACAUGCAAGUCGAGCGGUAGAGAGAAGCUUGCUUCUCUUGAGAGCGGCGGACGGGUGAGUAAUGCCUAGGAAUCUGCCUGGUAGUGGGGGAUAACGUUCGGAAACGGACGCUAAUACCGCAUACGUCCUACGGGAGAAAGCAGGGGACCUUCGGGCCUUGCGCUAUCAGAUGAGCCUAGGUCGGAUUAGCUAGUUGGUGGGGUAAUGGCUCACCAAGGCGACGAUCCGUAACUGGUCUGAGAGGAUGAUCAGUCACACUGGAACUGAGACACGGUCCAGACUCCUACGGGAGGCAGCAGUGGGGAAUAUUGGACAAUGGGCGAAAGCCUGAUCCAGCCAUGCCGCGUGUGUGAAGAAGGUCUUCGGAUUGUAAAGCACUUUAAGUUGGGAGGAAGGGUUGUAGAUUAAUACUCUGCAAUUUUGACGUUACCGACAGAAUAAGCACCGGCUAACUCUGUGCCAGCAGCCGCGGUAAUACAGAGGGUGCAAGCGUUAAUCGGAAUUACUGGGCGUAAAGCGCGCGUAGGUGGUUAGUUAAGUUGGAUGUGAAAUCCCCGGGCUCAACCUGGGAACUGCAUUCAAAACUGACUGACUAGAGUAUGGUAGA